Long non-coding RNA from Nomascus leucogenys (northern white-cheeked gibbon), 669 nucleotides. RefSeq lists it as uncharacterized. The transcript is spliced from 5 exons. The record is from RefSeq and is a predicted model, not a curated record. Lineage: Eukaryota; Metazoa; Chordata; Mammalia; Primates; Hylobatidae.
AUCAGCCUCAGACAUCUGCAUGAGCUGCAUCUGGGAGAGCUAUGUUUCUGAAUAUUGGUCUACCAUGUAUCAUAUAUGAAUGUACAUUAGUCAAAGGUCACUCACCAUCACCAAGAUGGAACUUUAGUGCUAUCUCUCAUGUCAUUGCUGUUUCAAAAACUUCAGACUCAGGAUCAGGAAUCAGGAAUCAGAAGAAAAUAUUAAUGAUAACUUCAUCCUCAAGCACAAUGGACAAAGCUAUAGAUGUACCUAAUGCUUCAGCAAAAAUGCCAACAACGUGCCACUGUGGAUGAGAGCUGUAUUUUCUAAAAAUAAAACAGUCACUUUUGAAGUUAAAAUAAUAUCCAUUUUAAAAAUCAAGAUGAAUACCAGAAAACCCUUUGAAGUAUGUAAAGAGAAAAAAAAAAAACAAAACAAUCUUGACAUCUAUGGUUCUUCAUUGUUCAGGACACAGCUGAAGUAUUACCUUUCCCAAGAGAUCUUACAUGACAAUAACCACCCCUGUCCUAUGUUUUGGUAUCAAGAUGAAGCUGACCUCAUAGAAUGAGUUGAAGAGUAGUCCCUCCUCCUCACUUUCUUGGAAUGGUUUCUGUAGGAAUGGAACCAGCUCUUCUUUGUACAUCUGGUAGAAUUUGGCUGUGACUCCAUCAGGUCCUGGGCUUUUUUUUC